Molecule: non-coding RNA, 77 nt
Organism: Myotis lucifugus (little brown bat)
Lineage: Eukaryota; Metazoa; Chordata; Mammalia; Chiroptera; Vespertilionidae
Source: Rfam
GGAGGUUUUUAGGGUGAUGCACCCCGGAAUCGGGCUCCCUCCCCUCUGGUUCUGGGGUGCGUCACCCGAGAACCGCA